AGUGAACGCUGGCGGUAGGCCUAACACAUGCAAGUCGAACGGCAGCACAGUAAGAUCUUGCUCUUACGGGUGGCGAGUGGCGGACGGGUGAGGAAUACAUCGGAAUCUACUUUUUCGGGGGGGAUAACGUAGGGAAACUUACGCUAAUACCUCAUACGACCUACGGGUGAAAGCAGGGGAGCUUCGCACUUUUCCCGUUUGAUUGAGCCGGUGUCGGAUUAGCUAGUUGGGGGGGUAAAGGCCCACCAAGGCGACGAUCCGUAGCUGGUCUGAGAGGAUGAUCAGCCACACUGGAACUGAGACACGGUCCAGACUCCUACGGGAGGCAGCAGUGGGGAAUAUUGGACAAUGGGCGAAAGCCUGAUGCAGCAAUGCCGCGUGGGUGAAGAAGGCCUUCGGGUUGUAAAGCCCUUUUGUUGGGAAAGAAAAGCAGCAGGUUAAUACCCCGCUGUUCUGACGGUACCCAAAGAAUAAGCACCGGCUAACUUCGUG
This 492-nucleotide ribosomal RNA is filed under the name uncultured bacterium. Its description in RNAcentral is "partial 16S ribosomal RNA". It matches the Rfam family "Bacterial small subunit ribosomal RNA", at positions 29 to 507 of the family's 1533-position model. The record is from RNAcentral.